GAUGAACGCUGGCGGCGUGCCUAAUACAUGCAAGUCGAGCGAACGGACGAGAAGCUUGCUUCUCUGAUGUUAGCGGCGGACGGGUGAGUAACACGUGGAUAACCUACCUAUAAGACUGGGAUAACUUCGGGAAACCGUAGCUAAUACCGGAUAAUAUUUUGAACCGCAUGGUUCAAAAGUGAAAGACGGUCUUGCUGUCACUUAUAGAUGGAUCCGCGCUGCAUUAGCUAGUUGGUAAGGUAACGGCUUACCAAGGCAACGAUGCAUAGCCGACCUGAGAGGGGGAUCGGCAACACUGGAACUGAGACACGGUCCAGACUCCUACGGGAGGCAGCAGAAGGGAAUCUUCCGCAAUGGGCGAAAGCCUGACGGAGCAACGCCGCGUGAGUGAUGAAGGUCUUCGGAUCGUAAAACUCGGUUAUUAGGGAAGAACAUAUGUGUAAGUAACUGUGCACAUCUUGACGGUACCUAAUCAGAAAGCCACGGCUAACUACGUG
RNAcentral lists this ribosomal RNA (497 nucleotides) under uncultured bacterium. RNAcentral's name for it is "partial 16S ribosomal RNA". It matches the Rfam family "Bacterial small subunit ribosomal RNA", at positions 28 to 507 of the family's 1533-position model. The record is from RNAcentral.